Molecule: long non-coding RNA, 347 nt
Filed under: Zonotrichia albicollis (white-throated sparrow)
Lineage: Eukaryota; Metazoa; Chordata; Aves; Passeriformes; Passerellidae
Description: lncRNA (ENSZALG00000016142.1)
Source: RNAcentral
CGCCGCCCUCUGCCCACGGCAGGCGGGGAGCGGAGCCGGCACGGGGCCGGGGAGGGAGGGGUGCGGGGUUCCGAGCAUCCUCAGAGCUCGCCCUGCGGGGAGAAGGAGCAGUACUGGAUUCUCCGAUGCUGCCGGAAGAAGAGGGGUGGCCGGUGUCGCCCCGCUGUCCGUCUCUCACCGGGCAUUUGGGACGAUCUUGCUCCCCUCCACCCGUAGCACACGAGCCGGAUCAGCCCCCUGCCCAGUGCUCCAGAGCCCCCGUCGGUGGCAGCAGCCCCGGUCUCCUUUCUUGCGGUGCCGCGAGUUGUGUUAUCGGGCACACGGGAGUGCGUUCGAGAGUUGUGUGA